This 208-nucleotide ribosomal RNA is filed under the name uncultured bacterium. Its description in RNAcentral is "partial 16S ribosomal RNA". It matches the Rfam family "Bacterial small subunit ribosomal RNA", at positions 568 to 775 of the family's 1533-position model. The record is from RNAcentral.
AGUGUAGGCGGUCUGCCAAGUCGAUUGUGAAAUCUCCCGGCUCAACCGGGAGGGUGCGGUCGAAACUGACAGACUAGAGUUCGGGAGAGGAGAGUGGAAUUCCUGGUGUAGCGGUGAAAUGCGUAGAUAUCAGGAGGAACACCGGUGGUGAAGACGGCUCUCUGGACCGAUACUGACGCUGAGACUCGAAAGCGUGGGGAGCAAACAG